This 1446-nucleotide ribosomal RNA is filed under the name Archaeospora sp. RNAcentral describes it as "eukaryotic LSU rRNA". The stretch from base 692 to 1446 matches the Rfam family "Eukaryotic large subunit ribosomal RNA", at positions 1 to 673 of the family's 3401-position model. Lineage: Eukaryota; Fungi; Glomeromycota; Glomeromycetes; Archaeosporales; Archaeosporaceae. The record is from RNAcentral.
CCUAGUAAGCGUGAGUCAUCAGCUCGCGUUGAUUACGUCCCUGCCCUUUGUACACACCGCCCGUCGCUACUACCGAUUGAAUGGCUUAGUGAGACCCUCGGAUUGCGGAUCGUUCGUUGGCAACAACACACGUUUUACGAGAAGUUGGUCAAACUUGGUCAUUUAGAGGAAGUAAAAGUCGUAACAAGGUUUCCGUAGGUGAACCUGCGGAAGGAUCAUUAAAAAAAGGGUCGAAAGACCUAUUUCUACUGAAACUCUACUAUCUUUUUUAGAUGGUAGAUGUUUCUUUAAAAUCCAAUAAACAUAUCGUCUUUAGACGAACCAAAAAUAAAAUUCUAAAAAACUUUCAACAAUGGAUCUCUUGGCUCUCGCAUCGAUGAAGAACGCAGCGAAUUGCGAUAAGUAGUGUGAAUUGCAAAUUCUGUGAAUCAUCGAAUCUUUGAACGCAUAUUGCGCUCUCUGGUAUUCCGGAGAGCAUGCCUGUUUGAGGGUAAUAAAAAAGAAUCUUUGACUUUCGAGUCAAGGGAUAUGGGCAUUCCGCAUUUUUAGCGGUAGCCUGAAAUGUAUGGUUUGUCUCAUCUAUUCGAGAUGCGUAAUAAUAUUAUUUCGUAAAAUCUUUGAUAUGACGAGCUACCAAGUCUUGACGUGUACGCUUUAUUGUUGUAUGCGAUUAAUACAAAUAUUUUUGACAUUACCUCAAAUCAGGUAGGAAUACCCGCUGAACUUAAGCAUAUCAAUAAGCGGAGGAAAAGAAACUAACAAGGAUUCCCCUAGUAACGGCGAGUGAAGCGGGAACAGCUCAAAUUUUAAAUCGGACUUUGUUCGAGUUGUAAUUUGAAGAGGCGUUUUCACGUCGUUUGUCCAGGUCUAAGUUCCUUGGAAUAGGAUAUCAGAGAGGGUGAGAAUCCCGUCUGUGAUCUGGUCGAUGGCUGUACGUUACGUCUUCUAAGAGUCGAGUUGUUUGGGAUUGCAGCUCAAAAUGGGUGGUAAAUUCCAUCUAAGGCUAAAUAUUGGCGAGAGACCGAUAGCGAACAAGUACCGUGAGGGAAAGAUGAAAAGAACUUUGAAAAGAGAGUUAAAUAGUAUGUGAAAUUGUUGAAAGGGAAACGAUUGAAGCCAGUCAUGCCGGUGGGAAAUCAGCUCAUAGGCUACUUUGAGUGCACUUUCUCGCAAGGCAGGUUAACAUCGGUUUCAGUUGCGUUAUAAUGAUGGUGGGAAGGUAGCUCUCUCGGGAGUGUUAUAGCCCGCUAUAGAUGGCGUGACAGAGAUCGAGGAUUGCAGCGAAUGCCUUUAGGCUACGAGUCUGGUCUCUGUCAAGUGUCAACUUGUCGUCAGCGUGCUGACGUACGAGGUGACGUCUUUACAAUAGGUUCAGAACUCGAUAAAUUCGCUAAGGAUGUUGACGUAAUGGCUUUAAACGACCCGUCUUGAACACGGACCAAGGAG